AAAAUCCAACUCUCUUUUUUUGGAGAGUAACAGUCUCGAGUCUCUUAGACUCCGUCGCGGGAGAUCUCAGGUGAGUCCUUCACUCCUCUUUCCUUCUGGCUAUGUGACGACAAUCAGCUUAUUCACAAGUGCCCCUUUAUUCUGGCUUGCAGGACGACUGUCCAGAGUCCUCUCCUUUCCUGGACGUAACAGAUACAAGUGGUAAGUAUUGAGAGUUUGGAUGCACAAUGGAUACCUGCUGCUACUCGUGGCAAACUCCGAGGCGGCCCAGCGGGUUGUACUCCCGGUCGUCCAGAUGCUGGUGGAACUGCACAAGGGCUGCCGGGAUCCAACUAAAACCGUACUGGUAAGUGUACAGGAGGGGGUUUCCGCGGUUUCUGUAUCCUGAGUGACGGGUCGACAUGCAGGUAGAUGCUUCAAAGGGACCCGCUAGAUCUGCACAAGAGCAUACAGGUAAGUGUAACAGGACUGGACACGGACAGUGGACAGAGGGGCCGCUGGCUCUUCACUCGGGGGCACAAGUAAGUCCGUAGGAAAGACAACUGGGGCUUCACUUGAGCAUACAGGCGAGUGUACAACACAAUAUGCUGGCUUUAGCUUUGGGCAUACGCUUACGGUGAAUAUACAGGGAAACAGGAAGUGAUGUAACUCACAGACCUUCGAGGGAAUAGACGUCAGACGUUCCUUUUCUGAGGCUUCUACCAACUGCUGAUAGAGAGGCGGAUCGAAAACUACUGUUGCGUUGGGCCGAACACGGCCUCCGCUGGCGUCACACACAGGUAAGUUGUUUCACCCGGGGUGUACUACACUGGAUGGGUCGAACGCUUCCCUCUUCUUUCUACCAACCGACAAGGCAAGAGAUAUAGACAGGGGCGAACCUUUGAAGAACUCCACAGCAGGUAAUAAUACACGCACAGCUGAUUUCCUCCUACAGCAGCCAACUCCUCACCAUUAAUACUUCCCAAUAGAUCCACACUGUUCUUACUUGAAAUUGUUUCCCACCACCGUCACGUGGGGAAGAAGGGUCAGGAUGUCAUCGACGGCAUAUAAUUGGAGAUGUUUUCUUCGCCCCCCUCGGUACUCACUUCCUUCACAGGAUUUUGUCGGGCCUGAAAGGUGGUUGUUGACAACACAACACAGCACAACACUGCAAUUUUCAAGUGUAUACACUCACAGCAAAGGACAAAGACUCCACGAGACACUCCACACACUCUUGGUGAAUUUAGGGUCAAAACCCCGUCUGACCAAAGACUCGUCCUGGAAAUCGUGGAGACACUGAUGCCACGAAUAUUCAGAUUUAAACGUCGCCGCCACGACACCCCAACGUCCUCUCUCGCUCACUGGUCCCGGCUCACCCACA
Long non-coding RNA from Cyprinus carpio carpio, 1360 nucleotides. The record is from Ensembl. NCBI's taxonomy places the organism in Eukaryota, Metazoa, Chordata, Actinopteri, Cypriniformes, Cyprinidae.